GAUUGAACUUAAGAGUUUGAUCCUGGCUCAGAUUGAACGCUGGCGGCAUGCCUAACACAUGCAAGUCGAACGG
RNAcentral lists this ribosomal RNA (73 nucleotides) under Acidithiobacillus thiooxidans. RNAcentral's name for it is "partial 16S ribosomal RNA". It matches the Rfam family "Bacterial small subunit ribosomal RNA", at positions 1 to 69 of the family's 1533-position model. Lineage: Bacteria; Pseudomonadati; Pseudomonadota; Acidithiobacillia; Acidithiobacillales; Acidithiobacillaceae. The record is from RNAcentral.